GGGGGCGACUUGGUUUCGACGUGGGUCGCGAAACCUUAGGUGCAUGCCGAGGUGCAGGUACCUCGUUAAACCGUCUGCAAAUUCUAGUUGCCAACGACGACAACUACGCCCUCGCUGCUUAACCCCAGCGGGCCUCCGACCGAUGUUUGCCUGUGGGCAUCGGGUUCCGGGGGUAACAACACAUAGGAUCGCGGUGACGGGGGUCCAGACCUGAUCCGCUAAAACCCCAAAUUUGGAAUCGCCGACCGUGCGCCCUGCCCUUCGGGCGCGGGAAGGCUAAAAAAAAUUGAACGGGCUAAGCAUGUAGUACCAACGGCAGAGGGCUUGCGGACGCGGGUUCGAUUCCCGCCGCCUCCACCA
Molecule: transfer-messenger RNA, 360 nt
Filed under: Candidatus Thiodictyon syntrophicum str. Cad16
Lineage: Bacteria; Pseudomonadati; Pseudomonadota; Gammaproteobacteria; Chromatiales; Chromatiaceae
Also listed under: 1 other name
Rfam family: transfer-messenger RNA
About the family: Bacterial tmRNA, also known as 10Sa RNA or SsrA, is named for its dual tRNA and mRNA-like properties. Its role is to liberate the mRNA from a stalled ribosome. To accomplish this part of the tmRNA is used as a reading frame that ends in a translation stop signal.
Source: RNAcentral